Molecule: ribosomal RNA, 162 nt
Filed under: Cylindropuntia x tetracantha
Lineage: Eukaryota; Viridiplantae; Streptophyta; Magnoliopsida; Caryophyllales; Cactaceae
Description: 5.8S ribosomal RNA
Rfam family: 5.8S ribosomal RNA
About the family: 5.8S ribosomal RNA (5.8S rRNA) is a component of the large subunit of the eukaryotic ribosome. It is transcribed by RNA polymerase I as part of the 45S precursor that also contains 18S and 28S rRNA.
Source: RNAcentral
UAACGACUCUCGGCAACGGAUAUCUCGGCUCUCGCAUCGAUGAAAAACGUAGCGAAAUGCGAUACUUGGUGUGAAUUGCAGAAUCCCGUGAACCAUCGAGUCUUUGAACCCAAGUUGCGCCCGAAGCCUUCCGGCCGAGGGCACGUCUGCCUGGGCGUCACG